UCCCUCUUAGCUCAGUUGGUAGAGCGCGUCACUAGUACAUGAUUAUUUCUCAGUCACAAUGACGAGGUCAGUCGUUCAAGUCGGCUAGAGGGAA
Non-coding RNA from Desarmillaria ectypa, 94 nucleotides. The record is from the annotation of a GenBank genome assembly. Lineage: Eukaryota; Fungi; Basidiomycota; Agaricomycetes; Agaricales; Physalacriaceae.